Long non-coding RNA from Salvelinus sp. IW2-2015, 443 nucleotides. RefSeq lists it as uncharacterized. Lineage: Eukaryota; Metazoa; Chordata; Actinopteri; Salmoniformes; Salmonidae. The transcript has 4 exons. The record is from RefSeq and is a predicted model, not a curated record.
CAAGAAGAACUAGAUCGUCUUCAUACGGACAAUGCCCUAGCCUUCCGGAAAGACCAGAGAUCGCUUUACUUCAAAGACACCAACGGAUGGCUGCCCAUUCAGCUGACGCCUUUCCAGUCUACGGAGAAUGCUCCGGAACAGGAGGGUUACUGUGGCGACGGGAUCGUUCAGAUUCCCAACGGGGAGGAAUGUGACGACGGGAAUAGGAUUGUCACCGACGGCUGCGUCAAGUGUAAACAUGCUUACUGUGGAGAUGGUUAUCGCUAUGACGGUGCCGAGGAAUGUGAUGGAAAGGACUUUGGCUAUCAGACAUGCAACUCAUAUCUCCCAGGGUCUUAUGGUCGUCUCAGAUGCACUCCGUACUGUGUCAUUGACUCUACAAACUGCAAGUAUUUUACAUGAGGAGGAACCUGGACACAGCAGUGGGAUGCUUCUUGUCUUGU